GACCCCAGGUCAGGCGGGACUACCCGCUGAAUUU
RNAcentral lists this ribosomal RNA (34 nucleotides) under Calamagrostis lahulensis. RNAcentral describes it as "partial 26S ribosomal RNA". The record is from RNAcentral. Lineage: Eukaryota; Viridiplantae; Streptophyta; Magnoliopsida; Poales; Poaceae.